AUUUAGCUCAAUUGGAUAGAGCAACGAACUUUUAAUUCGUGUGUCGCGGGUUCAAAUCCCGCAAUAGCC
Molecule: transfer RNA, 69 nt
Filed under: uncultured Microbulbifer sp.
Lineage: Bacteria; Pseudomonadati; Pseudomonadota; Gammaproteobacteria; Cellvibrionales; Microbulbiferaceae
Rfam family: tRNA
About the family: Transfer RNA (tRNA) molecules are approximately 80 nucleotides in length. Their secondary structure includes four short double-helical elements and three loops (D, anti-codon, and T loops).
Source: RNAcentral